RNAcentral lists this long non-coding RNA (2334 nucleotides) under Scophthalmus maximus (turbot). RNAcentral describes it as "lncRNA (ENSSMAG00000030210.1)". Lineage: Eukaryota; Metazoa; Chordata; Actinopteri; Pleuronectiformes; Scophthalmidae. The record is from RNAcentral.
AUGGGUUGCAGUUUGAAACGCAGAAGGUUUUUUCUGUCACGUUCUGAUUUUACUGAAGUAAAUGAUGUGAAAACUCUCCGUCGUCUUAAACGUGUCCACAAACUUUUGGCCCUGCCCGUGUCUCGUCGACGUCUCUUCCUUCCUCUCCAGCGCUCUCAGUUAUGUCCUCCACUUUGCUCUGACACAUUUUCAAGUCUCCUCCAUCUUUCUCUUCUCUCCUCUGACACAUUUAGCUUUCCCUCCCUCUCCCGUCAGGACACACACACGCACACACACGGCGGAGGUGAAGUCGAGAGGCUUGUCUUAGCGUGCCAUCUGUCCUCGGCGCUGACGUUGGCUCUAAUUACCGCGUCUCCCCUGGCUAAUGCUGCCUCAUUAGGCCGCCGGAGCAUGUGCAGCCGACACGAGCGCGGCAGAGAGUUUGCACCAGGAAGCUCGAGCUCGAGCCAUUAUGAGAUCAGGAAAUCUGUCUGGUGCGAAAGGCAAUUCACACCAGCGACUAAACGCUCAUUUUGCUUUUUCUCUCUCUCCAGUUCCAGCCUUCCUCUCUCUGUCGCGCCCUCCCUCCCUCCCUCGCUCCCUCGCUCCCUCGCUCCGCUCGUCUGGCGUUGGACAGCGUUCCCGAGGCCUCGAGGCCCGGGGCCCGGGUCCAAGAACCAAAACAAAGGAGUCAAGGAGGAGUCCUGGAGAGACGAGAACUCGCCCAGCUUCUCAAACAACAAGUUUAAAGGAUCGCUCCUGUUUAGUUCAGCCUGGGUCUUCAUUUGCUGGUUAAUUUAUGGUAAUAAGAAUAAUAACAACAUCGUCCUCCUGAAUUCAGGUUGGAGAUCCAGAGGAUUUCCUGAUUGGAAAACUUCACUCCGCCUUAUGUAACUAUAUUUAACUCAUUCAAAGUUGACGCAAAAAAACCCUGGUUCUUUGUUGCAGGUUGACGAACACGUAGUUACGGACAAUACAUUCAAUUUCUGUGAAUAAGUCCUUCUAAAUAUGACACACUGUAGCUUUAAUACAUUACAACCUUUCAUUUCACCCAAAACCUUCCUGGCAUCAGACGGUAACACUUAGAUGAUGAUAAUAACAAAAAAGUAGAUUAUUAUGAUUUAUGAUGAGGCUUUGGCAGAACAUGUGAACAGAAUUGUAUUUCCUCUGGUUUGAUGUUGUCAUGACCUUUCUGCAAAAACAACAGUUUCAUGAGCAGAGGAUUAUUUCCCGCUCUCCCUCGAAUCAGACGUGCGUUCCGUGGCCUGCCUCGCCUGCGGCGCCUCCCCGCCAUGAAUCAUCCGACAAACCGCCAGAUCAAGAUCCGGAGUCUUUACGUCUCUGUUGCGGUCGCCGCGCUGACAGCAGUAAAUCUGUGGGAAUGGAUGACGACUGCGGUUCGUCGGCGACAGGCGUCUGAUGUCGGUCGCUGUAGACGGUUCUUUGUUUACCAAAGUUGUCCGUGACAAGUGACUGUGGCAACUGGUUAACGAGCAACACGAUCGGAGAAAAAGGAAAGUGGUGUUAACACAACAGAGACAUUUAUUCAGGGAUGAAUGAUGAAUAAAAUCUGUAGUCAACACUCACUGGUGUUCUUAGGUGGAAACCGAGCACAGACGCAGUGACGCUUGUCACAGUCGACAUGAUGAUGUCAUAUCAAAAACAGCUCACCGAAUUCUGGUGUCGUCUCGAAUGAGCAACAAGCGUUUUACACCAGUCGUAGAACAUUUUACACAACAAAGGGCGGAAAAUCAGAGAUUCUUUUCUGAGACGUGUCUAAGUCACGCUUACGACCAGCGACCUGCGAUUUGGUUUCAGUUUGGAAGCUAGCAACUACGCCUACGUCACGUGUCACAUCAUCAUUGUGCAGAUCAUACACAGCCAAAUGUGAGGCCCACCGCUGGACUACUCUGAAAAUAUUAAUCUAGGAAAAAAAAUGAGAUUGACUUUGAUUUUUUUUAUAUAUAUCUUGCAGUUCCAGCCUCUGCCAGCAGGGGUGCCGCCCCCCUUGUGUGUUCUCAGCUCAGUCGGUGUCGAGGCUGCUUCAUGUUGGUCCAUCGUCUGGAGAUCACGACCGCUCGUUCCUGACCAGGCGUCGUCUCCUCUCCCAAACUAAACGUCCUCCUCCUCCUCUGACAAGCGUCUCCACGGUAAUGCUGCGUUCAGGUGCUCGUGGGAAGAGAAGACUCCCUCUACUGGUAUUUAGGACCUGGUGACGUGUUUGCUGCCAGUUUUAGAGUUUGUCUCUUAUUGUAGCUGGUUAUUCAAAGUGCUCACCUGAAGGAUUAGAAACUAUACAUCCACUCGGACCCGAUUCCUCCCCCCUCAGAAACUCCUCCUCCUCCUCCUCCUCCG